Paramuricea clavata is the source of this 659-nucleotide non-coding RNA. NCBI's taxonomy places the organism in Eukaryota, Metazoa, Cnidaria, Anthozoa, Malacalcyonacea, Plexauridae. The record is from the annotation of a GenBank genome assembly.
UUGUGGUAACAAAUCUUGUUUAUUUCAAUGUCAGAGAAUUUAAAAUUUUACAAUUAAUCUGUAUCCACAAUGAUUUUGAACAAAUUUUUGGUCAGUUUCAGAAUGGUUUAGAGACCCAAUUUGGUUCUUCUCCAAUGACGUCUUUUGGCGUUGUAUCUACAAAAAUAAGACAAUAAUUCCGUUAGAAAGCUCUACAGUAGAUCGCUUAUAUGCAACUUCCCGUUUUCUCGAACUAAAAUCUUUUUUCCGUGGAUUUGCCAAUACUAUUUCAAUCAUUUUUACUCGCUUAUUUCAAACUCUCCGCUAUUUCCAAGUAUUUGUUGCUUUCCUUGACCGGAUUUGCCCAGUUACAGUAUACAAAUAAUGAAUGUUUAUGAGUGCAAUGGUAAGAAUAUUUUCAUGAGGUGAAAGAUGGAAUGUUCCAUUCAACGAGGCGACAGCCGAGUUGAAUGGAACAUUCCAUCUUUCACCGAAUGAAAAUAUUCUUACCAUUGCACGAAGAAACAUUCAUUAUUUGUUUUAUAUAAUACCAAAGGUCCAGAACAGACUAAUAGAUUCGUAUGAGAAGCAUUUUGAGGGAUGCGAUUUAUCGAAAACACAAAGAGUGCAAUUGUACUAUACGUUUUAUUACAUUGCACUCGCGCAGAGUGCAAUGGAAC